RNAcentral lists this ribosomal RNA (1025 nucleotides) under uncultured Actinomyces sp. Its description in RNAcentral is "bacterial SSU rRNA". The stretch from base 1 to 808 matches the Rfam family "Bacterial small subunit ribosomal RNA". The record is from RNAcentral. Lineage: Bacteria; Bacillati; Actinomycetota; Actinomycetes; Actinomycetales; Actinomycetaceae.
GAUGAACGCUGACAGAAUGCUUAACACAUGCAAGUCAACUUGAAUUUGGGUUUUUAACUUAGGUUUGGGUGGCGGACGGGUGAGUAACGCGUAAAGAACUUGCCUCACAGCUAGGGACAACAUUUGGAAACGAAUGCUAAUACCUAAUAUUAUGAUAAUAGGGCAUCCUAUAAUUAUGAAAGCUAUAAGCGCUGUGAGAGAGCUUUGCGUCCCAUUAGCUAGUUGGAGAGGUAACGGCUCACCAAGGCGAUGAUGGGUAGCCGGCCUGAGAGGGUGAUCGGCCACAAGGGGACUGAGACACGGCCCUUACUCCUACGGGAGGCAGCAGUGGGGAAUAUUGGACAAUGGACCAAGAGUCUGAUCCAGCAAUUCUGUGUGCACGAUGAAGUUUUUCGGAAUGUAAAGUGCUUUCAGUUGGGAAGAAAGAAAUGACGGUUCCAACAGAAGAAGUGACGGCGAAAUACGUGCCAGCAGCCGCGGUAAUACGUAUGUCACGAGCGUUAUCCGGAUUUAUUGGGCGUAAAGCGCGUCUAGGUGGUUAUGUAAGUCUGAUGUGAAAAUGCAGGGCUCAACUCUGUAUUGCGUUGGUAACUGUAUAACUAGAUUCUGGAGAGGUAUGUGGGAACUACAUGUGUAGAUGUGAUAUUCUUAGAUAUUUGUAUGAAUGCUCUAUGGUGAAGCCAGCUUACUGGACAUAUACUGUCUCUGAUGCGCGAAAUCGUGUGUAGCCUAACAGAUUAAAAUACCAUGUCAUCCUGAUGGCGGAUUCCACUUUUGAUUAUUGCUUAGCGUUGCGGUCACCUCUAUGGUGUGCCGGUUGAUGUUUUAGAUCAUAUGUAAUCUGAUUUGUUGUCUUGCCUUACUGCAUCUCUGCACUAUCCCUGCCUUGUUGCUUCUAUUACUAUAUUCCUGUCCUGUGUCUUAUCCGUUCUCUCCUCUGUUAUUUGAUUUUUCUUCUUCUGUAUGUUCUGUGAUUUCCUGUCUUCACACUUAUGCCCCUGCUCUUGAUGUUGUUAUGUGUGUUU